CAGAGAGGAACCAGGCUUCUCCCUGUGACAAAGGCAGAGGCUUUCUUCCACACUCCGCCUGGAAACGCCCUCAGCGCAUCAAGUUCACCGGGCACACUUGAGG
Molecule: long non-coding RNA, 103 nt
Organism: Suricata suricatta (meerkat)
Lineage: Eukaryota; Metazoa; Chordata; Mammalia; Carnivora; Herpestidae
Exons: 2
Source: RefSeq, a predicted model, not a curated record